RNAcentral lists this ribosomal RNA (537 nucleotides) under uncultured bacterium. RNAcentral describes it as "bacterial SSU rRNA". It matches the Rfam family "Bacterial small subunit ribosomal RNA", at positions 102 to 674 of the family's 1533-position model. The record is from RNAcentral.
ACGGGUGAGUAACGCGUGGGAAUCUACCGUACCCUACGGAAUAGCUCCGGGAAACUGGAAGUAAUACCGUAUACGCCCUUCGGGGGAAAGAUUUAUCGGGGUAUGAUGAGCCCGCGUUGGAUUAGCUAGUUGGUGGGGUAAAGGCCUACCAAGGCGACGAUCCAUAGCUGGUCUGAGAGGAUGAUCAGCCACAUUGGGACUGAGACACGGCCCAAACUCCUACGGGAGGCAGCAGUGGGGAAUAUUGGACAAUGGGGGCAACCCUGAUCCAGCCAUGCCGCGUGAGUGAUGAAGGUCUUAGGAUUGUAAAGCUCUUUCACCGAUGAAGAUAAUGACGGUAGUCGGAGAAGAAGCCCCGGCAAACUUCGUGCCAGCAGCCGCGGUAAUACGAAGGGGGCUAGCGUUGUUCGGAAUUACUGGGCGUAAAGCGCACGUAGGCGGAUAAUUAAGUCAGGGGUGAAAUCCCGCAGCUCAACUGCGGAACUGCCUUUGAUACUGGUUAUCUUGAGUAUGGAAGAGGUAAGUGGAAUUGCGAGU